Molecule: RNA transcript, 2713 nt
Organism: Brassica napus (rape)
Lineage: Eukaryota; Viridiplantae; Streptophyta; Magnoliopsida; Brassicales; Brassicaceae
Gene name: tropinone reductase homolog At1g07440-like
Exons: 4
Source: RefSeq, a predicted model, not a curated record
UUACCGCGUCCGAGGCAUUAAAUAUUGGGGCUUUCUGUUGAGACCCACAGACACGGACUUGGAUAAGAUUUUUAAUAUUUUUGGUGGACAUGGCCUGAUGGCCCAUAUAUAUACUUGUAUUCUCAUUAGACUAUCCACAUCAAUCUGAGGCGAAUGGCUGGAGAAGAGCAAAGAGGAAGAUGGAGCCUUCAAGGCAAAACCGCACUUGUCACCGGUGGAACCAAAGGCAUUGGGCAUGGUAUAGUAGAAGAACUUGCAGGAUUUGGAGCAAUAAUACAUACGUGUGCUCGAGAUGAAGCACAUCUCAACGAGUGUUUGAGCGACUGGAAAAAGAAAGGGUUUCAAGUCACUGGUUCAGUCUGUGACGCAUCGUCCUGGACCGAAAGAGAGAAGCUGAUGCAAACUGUGUCCACUUUGUUUGAUGCCAAGCUUAGUAUCCUCAUCAACAAUGUCGGGGCAAUCCGGUCAAAGCCAACAAUUGAAAAUACGGCAGAGGAUUUCUCGUUCCACAUUUCUACCAACUUGGAAUCUGCGUACCAUUUUAGCCAGCUUGCACAUCCUCUGCUCAAGUCUUCAGGGUGUGGUAAUAUCGUGUUCAUAUCCUCUGUUGCUGGGGUCGUGUCGUUUGGCGUCAGCUCUAUAUACUGUGCAACUAAAGGUAUAUACCGACUUAAGAAGAAACCAAAACCAAUGAUCAAAAUAAACCAAAACCACCUCUUUGUGAGUCUGGUUGGUACAGCUCAUGGUAGAGUAUAGUAGUAGUAAACAACAAUAAUACCACUCGAUAUGUAUGUAUGUAUAUAUAUUCGACCAAAAAUAAAAUAUCUAUACUAUUAAAAGGGAAGCAGUUUUUAAAAAUCUACUUAUAAAAAGUUGUUGGACCCUUUCAUUUUUUUAUUUUUUGGUCUUCCUUAUAUAUUAUAUGUUAUCCCUACUUAAUCUCACUUUGUUAUCAGCAAAAUAAAUAUUAUUAAUUGGGCUUUAGGCGUUUAACUUAAAAAAGAUAAUUUAACUGAUACAACCCAUUCAGAAAAGAAAAUUACAAAUCCAAUUAACUUUUGUUACAGAAAAAAAAAUUUAACCAAAUUAACUUUAGACCCAUUUUUUACAAAAUCCCAAAUUAUGAAGACCAUUUUAUACAUAAAUACAUAUAAAUGUAACAUUAUUUAAAUUGUAUGGAUUUCUAAUAAUGAAAUAUCUGUCACAAACUGAUUUUAUUGAUAAUAGUUUGAUAGAAAAUUAAAAAAGGAAAAAAAAUAAUACUUGCUUCACUAUUUUGGUAGAUUGAUAAUUAAUAUAUUUAUAAAUUAACUUAACAAUAUUUGUUAAAAGAAAUUUCUUAUACAAGUCAAAUGUAUAUUAAUAUAUCAAAAAUUUAUAAAACAAAAAAUAAAUUAUAUUUUUUCAGUGGGUUAAUAACCGUCUUUUUGAUUUUCAGAUACUUUUACUAUAUUCGUUUUAUUAUAUUCUAUCCUACUAUAUAUGAGUUUCUAGAUCUUAAGGUUCGACCAAAAGUCUGAUUCGGAUAUGAAAAUUCAAUGAAAACAUUGUAUCGGACUGAAAUAAUAAUAAUAGAACAGCUUUUAAAUAUUUUAGAUAUUUAAUAAUAAAUAUAAAUUCAUUUAAUAUUUGAGUUUACGGUCACCAAAAAAAUAUCCGGGCUUCUUAAGCGCGAGUCAAAAUCUAGUAUAUAUAUUAAUGCAGCAUCUUUUUUUUCCGUCAAAUUGUUAAAUUUCAUUCAAAAGAGGAAUACAAAAGCUGGCAGAAGAACUAGAAAUCCCGAGAAACACAAGCCCACAAGAAAGGCAACUAGAACCCACUCCGGGGUAACUUAGGAGAAUACCAAAUACAGACUUAACUAUAGCUACAACAAGGAUAAAUCAAAAACCCACCAUGAAGUUAGCACACUGCACUUGCAACCUUCCGACACCACUUGACGUUUCUGAACGAGAUUUAUCGUUGUUGCCCACGGCUCACCAAGGGAUAACAUCAACUUCUACGAACACAGAGAAACACCUCUUCCACCUAAAGAACCAGACUUUAUAACCCAACAAGAGAGAACCACACAUAGUUCUCCUCUUUCGGAUACGGCUGCAACACACUUAAUGCGUCCAAGCAACGCCUCAAUAAAAGCCAUACAACCAACACUCUAAUCUCAACAGAUCUAGAGAUAAACAAAGUCAAUCCCACCCGAACUCACCGAAAACAUAUAGAAACCGGCAGCAGGAGACAGGAAGCAUUCACUACCACAUCAAGAACUCGAAAAAAUUGCAAGUAUAGAGACCAAACAACCAAAAGAGGGCCAACGAUUCCCUUUGAGAGCAGAACAUAGCAUAGACAAACUUCCACACAACAAUGGAAAACAGAUAUUCUAGACCACUUAAAACGGAUGUCUCCGCUGGUCGAAGAGUGGAGAGCUCGUGGGCAAACAGAAUCAAAUCUGACAAGGGAGGAGAACCCCUUCACCACCGAUGAAGCCUCAACUACAACCUUAUCACAGAUCCGCCAGAUCUGACCCAGAUCCGGUUAAAACCACACAAAACACUUCCAAUCCCGAGUUCUCUGGCUUCACAUCAUGGGUAAUAGUCUUGCCGGUGCUCCAGCUGAGCAAAAGAACAACUAAAACACAGAUCUAUUUCCAAUAAGAGAUAGCUCCAGAGACACCAACAAAGAGACCAAACCAUAGACAUAGAAGACAGAGAAGAAAAGCAGA